Long non-coding RNA from Sorghum bicolor (sorghum), 1661 nucleotides. RefSeq lists it as uncharacterized. The record is from RefSeq and is a predicted model, not a curated record. NCBI's taxonomy places the organism in Eukaryota, Viridiplantae, Streptophyta, Magnoliopsida, Poales, Poaceae. The transcript is spliced from 5 exons.
ACUAUCCUCUCUCUCUCUCCGCAAAACAAGAUACCGCACGGGUCUGCUCUUCUUCCUCCCUGUCUGCUCUUCUUCCUCCCGACUCUAGUCCCCACACUGGGGACCCGAUGGAGCUGCCUCCCCGAGCUUGCCAACACGGAUCUGCCAACCCGGCAUCCCUCCGGCGAGCCUCGUCCGGUCUGCGCUCAAGAACUCCGGCGCCGUGGCGGGACGCGGCUCCAGCGAGCUCUAUUCCGCCGCGACCGGACGGUGGGGUGUCCAUGUGCGACGACAAGUUUCUCUUCCUCUUCCUGCCGCCGCCGCAGCCACGAUGCCGAUGGUGAGCAUCGGCCGGGACCGUGUCUUCGCCGAUCUGGCGCAGGAGGAGUUUGAGGCGCUCUGCUUCGAGUUCGGCAUCGAGUUGGACGAUGUGAUAUGUGGGAGACGGCUAUGGUCUUGGCGCAGCCGAGACUCCCUCCUCGUGCAUGCAAGAUGGGUUGACAAGGCAUCAGUCUCAUGGGCAUGUGAGCACGGGCUUUUUGCUGAUGGUGUCGUCGAGCACCCAACGCUGUCCUGACCUGAGCACUUGAGCAGAUAUGAGUUCAGGGCCACAAACUAUUUCAGAUUGGAACAGGACCAGGGGAUGCAACAACUUGCAUCUAGGGCGAGCGAUGGUUUCAGACCCAUCUUUUUUCUCUUGUCUUGUGCAUCACAUGUAGCUUUAUUUUCUUUCUUUAUCUGAACUAUACAGCAGAGAUUUGCAAAUUCAGGUUACAGAAGAAAAACAUUAUAAUGCUCUAGCUUCCUCUGUUCUAUUGAUUAUUUGUUAAUUGCCUUUUUUUCUUUCCAGCAUACAAGAUCUUGUUUAGCCAUUUUAGUUUAGGAUUUAAACUAUUUAUUGACAUUUAAAGGAUACAAGUGCCUGAAUUUGUGUGUCCAUGUCUGUUCUUGCUGUUUUUGCACAUUGCAAAUUGCAGAAGUGGGAAGUGUACUCUGGUUAUACAUCAGGUAAAGAGCAAGGCAUUUGAAAACACAUGUCCAGCUAUGUUGUGCCAUUGAUUUGAGGGGAAGGAGGAGGUAGAAAAAGAUGACAUUGACUAAAAACCGUUGAUAUUUCUUUCAAAAAAGACAAUCUACAGCUGAAAUGGAAAUACCAACAUAUGCCCCUUCCAACUAUCUCAAGUUCAAUACAUAUAACCCUCAUCGUUUUUUUUACAAAUUUGUUCAAGUUACAGUGAAGUGAGUACAAUGAUGGACUAUCCCUUGAUACUAAACAAUAUGUUUGGGUAUUUUUUCAAAUUUUUUGUGUGCAACAAAAGAAGAAUGUUGCAUGCUUAUUGUCACUGGAGAUCUACAGAACAGUUGUAAGCUACAACUGUCUCACUUGCAUAUAUCCUAUGAUAUUUGAGUUGUAAUAAGUACUGUCAAUUUCUCUCUACCUCCUGCAUUUUAGUCAUGCUGUUAACAGAACACUUGAACAUAGUGAGGAAAUAUACUUUUGGGAACAUAAGAAAGCCCAUAUGCAUUAGCUUGAGAUAUGACAUGAGAUUAGCUAAUUAUUGCAAAUCCACCUGAACCCAAACACUUGAGCAUCUCCAAGAGUAUCCAAUAAUCCUUCCUGAUCCAUGAUUUCUCUUUUGUGACACAAUCUGAAUGUUUACAUGACCUUGUAGUUGAUUUCA